RNAcentral lists this long non-coding RNA (304 nucleotides) under Glycine max (soybean). RNAcentral describes it as "long non-coding RNA (GMAX_LNC000358)". Lineage: Eukaryota; Viridiplantae; Streptophyta; Magnoliopsida; Fabales; Fabaceae. The record is from RNAcentral.
CCCCUCUUCAGAGAGCCAAGCAGCAUUGAGAAAAUCUUCGGGGACUUCGAAAGGGAGCAACAAUUACUGGGGUUAAGGCCUGCCACUCCUCCGGAGAGACCUAAAACACCACCUUAUGUCCCUCCAAGAGCUCCUUCUCCUAGACCUCCCUCUCCGAGGGCUCCUUCUCCAAGGCCUCCGUCUCCAAGGGCUGCUUCUCCGAGGGUGGCUUCUCCACGAGUUACCUCUCCCAAAGCCGCGUCUUCCCGGAUUGCUCAUCACCACAAGGAGGUUGGCUACAGACCAGAGCCAACUUUGAGGCAAC